This is a long non-coding RNA of Ictalurus punctatus (channel catfish), 3735 nucleotides long. The record is from Ensembl. Lineage: Eukaryota; Metazoa; Chordata; Actinopteri; Siluriformes; Ictaluridae.
CGUUGUUAUUAAUCGAAUUGUUAAGCUUCAGAGUGAAUGAGGAAGUGGUCAGAAGGUCACUCGGGUUUAAAUCUGAACACCUGCUCUGAUCCGAGGUCUAAUCUGAGCUUCUCUGUAGUGGCUGGAUGGAACCUGAGUCCUGCUGUGAUCAGGUCUACACACAAUGUGGAUGUUUUCCACACCGUGCUUUAUAUUUACCCUCUGCAGCAGAUGGCGGAAGGAGACGGAGUUAAACACACUGACCUGUCCACAACCUGAACCUUCUCUCUCUGUCUGUUUCUGUCUCUCUCUUAUAUCCUUCCGUCUUUCUCUCGGUCUCUCUACAUCCGUGUCUCGCUCUGUCUCUAUCUCUCUCCGUCUUUCUCUCUGUCUCUCUACAUCAGUGUCUCGCUCUGUCUCUGUCUCUCCUCCGUCUUUCUCUCUGUCUCUCUACAUCCGUGUCUCGCUCUGUCUCUAUCUCUCUCCAUCUUUCUCUCUGUCUCUCUACAUCCGUGUCUCGCUCUGUCUCUAUCUCUCUCCGUCUUUCUCUCUGUCUCUCUCGGUCUCUCUACAUCCGUGUCUCGCUCUGUCUCUAUCUCUCUCCGUCUUUCUCUCUGUCUCUCUACAUCCGUGUCUCGCUCUGUCUCUAUCUCUCUCCGUCUUUCUCUCUGUCUCUCUCGUCUUUCUCUCUGUCUCUCUCGGCCUCUCUACAUCCGUGUCUCGCUCUGUCUCUAUCUCUCUCCGUCUUUUCUCUCCGUCUCUCUCUCUCUCUACAUCUCUCUGCGCGUCUCUCUCCGUCUCUCUCCAUGUCUCUCUCUGUCUCUUUCGCUCUCCCUCACGCUGUCUCUCUCAUUCCGUCUCUGCCCGUCUCUCUCUCUCUCUGUAUAUAUCUCUGUCUGUGUCUCGAUCUCUAUCUCUUUCAGUCUCUCUCACACCAUCUCCCAGUGUGUCUGCGUGCCUCUCUCUCUGUCUUUGCUUCUCUCUCUUUUUCCAUCUCUUUCUCUCUCAGUCUCUCUGUGAGUCUGUCUCCCUCUCUCUGUCUCGCUAAUAAGUAAACGUCCCAUACGGAAAAAAAAAAAAAUUCCACCACAUCAACGAUAAUAUGUAUUUUUUUCUUCUUCUUAGUGAUAGAUUAAGUGGAGCGUCCGCGGCGUACGAGCUGUUACUAUAGAAGUGAUAACGUAUCAGAACAUGCGCAUGAAUAUAAACCUGUCGCUCGUGGUACAGCUGGAACUACUUUCCCAGUCGUGGUUUAAUGAAUAAUCAUCAGUUCCUCCAUGUUGUUUGUCAGAAAGAACGACGUUCGUUUUGUUUAUUUUGAGUCUCACUCUUCCAGUGUUUACUCCGGACGACCAAAGCGUUAACCGCCACAGGAACUGAAAUCCUGUCCCUUUUUCAACAUCUCCUGUUUCCCCAAUCGCAUUAUACAAUCAAUCCACUCCUGGAUACCGUUUACAUGUGUAUCUGGGAGUGAGUGAGAUGCCGUGAUCUACUGUAUUACAGCCGAUCUCAGAGAUGUGUAGUACCGUAUCUCUGACCUGUUACAGACGAAUUAGGAAACACAGUACGCGAGUAAGAACAGGAGGAUGGGAUGGGUGUAGAAGACUGAAAAAUGGAGGGGGGGAAAAAGAUCUCUAUUUAAGAUAAGCAAACAAGACGAGGAGAUCAGGAGAAAAAAGAAAGUUGACGCCAAAUCGAAUCCUCUCUGAAAAGGAACGUGUGUAAAGCUAGCCGGUGCGUCGCGCGCUUCGUCUUUAACAGUCGGUUCUCGGGAACAAUGCAGCGACGCUUCUCCGCAGCAAUAAAUCUUCGCCCUAGAACUGACAACAUUCUAACCCGGCGCUCCUGCCCGAUGCGCCGUCAUGAGACUGCGGCUCGCGCUUGGAUCGCACUGACAUAUCUGAGACCUUCUGCGCAGCGUGGAGCUCUGACAGGCCGAGCGACUCGCUAUCGUGUUACAGCAGGAUCCUCUGGCAUUCGCCUCGAUGAUGAGAGUGAGAACACCGAACGGUGAAUAUACGCAGGCUGGUGUGUGUGUGCCGGUGAAGCUGGUGUUACACCCCCUGACAAGCCUGAGAAAACAAGGAGCGUCUGAAUUCUCCUGCUCUUACAGCACACACACACACACACAAUCAGACCUUAAGAACGUUUUUUUUUGUGUGAUGUGCAGGUGCGCUAGUGUCAGUGCUGCUGUCAUAGAAAAUGAAUCAACACCUUCUGACCAAUCAGAUUUGAGAGUUCAACAGCGCUCUUCUGACAGUGAAAUCAUUUAAGACUUGUGCGAGACAAAGCUAUUUGAACUACUUGCAGGACUUAAGGCGUGUUGUCGUCAUGGUUACGCUGAGACUACACACCACUCCUGAAUUUUUUGUGUAAAUUCGGUUAUCUUGUGGACUAAAAAAAACCGCAAGGGGUGUGUAAACUUAUGAGCGCAACUAUACAUGUGCGUAAAAUUUUUUUUUUUUUUUUUUUGGGGAUUACAGGCAGCAUGUCAUCCAAAAUCUACAAUUUAUAGCAUUUAAAAAAAAAAAAAAAAAAAUCUCUGAAAAGCAUGUCUCCCCUUUGAAGAAUUUCGCCGUCACAAUAGGUCAAAGGUCAGAUGUUUCCGUCAUGUAGUAAGAGUGGUGUGGGUAAACAGCGUCCGGCCGAGCCGCUCUGAGCAUACUCUGGCACAGUGAGGCGUGGGUAUGGGUUACACAUACCUCACAGCCCUGAAGACGAGCUCGGCCACGCCCUGCAGACUCACAAAUACCCACGCCGGGUUACAUUCCGUCACUCGGGAUGUAUUUUGAAAUAAUAUUCUCUUCGUGCUCAUGACCCCCGGUUUUGGGACGCGUUUUAAUAACGAGUGUUGCUGAGCGGCUAUAACUGUAUCUGCUGCAUGCCUUCAGUCCGAAUAACAACACCGGCAUGGGCAUCGUGUGACGCUCAGACGAUACACGCGUACUGUAGCUGAAGAGACACCAACCCUCAGUCCUUCACUUCUAAUCGAACACCUCAGUGAAAGUAAAACUCAUAACGUAUACCGUAGAGAUGAUGAUUUACCAUCACGGCAUGAACUACUGCUGUAAAUGUUAUCAUCCUUACAUCAUCAUCAUCAUCAUCAUCAUCAUUACAUCAUCAUCAUCAUCAUCAUCAUCAUCCUUACAUCAUCAUCAUCAUUACAUCAUCAUCCUUACAUCAUCAUCAUCAUCAUCAUCAUCAUCAUCAUCAUCAUUACAUCAUCAUCAUCAUCAUCAUCAUCCUUACAAUCAUCAUCAUCAUCAUCAUCAUUACAUCAUCAUCUCAAAAAUAAUGUUUUUUUAUCACUGAAAAAAGAGAAAAUAUAAUUAAAAAAUUACGUUCUUAAAAAUUACGAUUAAGUUCUAAAUUUUAACAUCACAUCAACUGAUUAUCUGAUAGAUAGAUAGACAGAUAGAUAGAUAGAUAGAUAGAUAGAGAGAAAGAGACAGACAGACAAACAGACAGAGAGAUAGAUAGAGAGAGAGAGAUAGGUAGAUAGGUAGAGAGAUAGGUAGAUAGAUAGAUACAUAGAUAGAGAGAAAGAGAGAGAUCGGUAGAUAGAUAGAGAGAAAGAGAGAGACAGGUAGAUAGAGAGAAAGAGAGAGAUAGGUAGAUAGAUAGAUAGAGAGAGAGAGAGAGAUAGGUAGAUAGAUAGAUAGAGAGAAAGAGAGAGAUAGGUAGACAGAUAGAGAGAGAGAGAGAUUGGUAGAUAGGGAGAGAAAGAGAGAGAUAGGUAGAUAGAUAGAUAGAGAG